Chiroxiphia lanceolata (lance-tailed manakin) is the source of this 1171-nucleotide long non-coding RNA. RefSeq lists it as uncharacterized. Lineage: Eukaryota; Metazoa; Chordata; Aves; Passeriformes; Pipridae. The transcript is spliced from 8 exons. The record is from RefSeq and is a predicted model, not a curated record.
UCUCUGCUCACUGGUCUCUCCUGCCAUUCCCCUUGCUGCAAUGCCACACCUCUUUCCUCCCUCCAUCCACUGGGGUCACCAGCCCUGCACUGCUGAGUCUCCACCCUUUUAUCUGCAAUGUCACUACACACCUCACUGGAGGACUUACUAAUGAGGCUGAAACUUCAGAUUUUGGAGAAGAGAAGAUGGUUUGGAGCAGAGGACCAGUGUGGAUAUCCAAGUCUGGGCUGGUUUAGCUCUGCAUCUGUCUCUGCUGCACUGUCUGCAGGCACAGGAGUGCAGACUGUUUAAUUUGCACUGGGGACUGCCUUUGACUCCCUGAAUAAGAAAGCACCUUUAAACACUCCCCACCUCUACUGAGCUGCAUGUUCCUGGUUUCCAGCUCCUGUGUGCACUUGGCCAGCAGGAUCAGAGCUGGGCCUACAAGGGCAGGCGUGAUGGGAAGACAGAGUUAAGACUGAAAUAUGAAACAGAGAACUCAGCACCCUCAAGUUUUGUCUUUUGUUCACCCAGCUUCAUAUAUGUUUAAGACAAGGAUAAUGUGGAUGGUCACUGCGGUGCCCUUUUUGUGGGCUGAGAUUUCUAUUGCCCAUGCUUUUUCCAAAGGAAAGUUUUCCUGACUGCACCAUUCGUGUGUUGGAGGAUGUGGAGCUGUUUGUGCCUGAGAGCCCAAAUGAGAAUUCUAAAGGCAACACAAGCCCCCAGGACAUUGUUUUCCAGUCCAUGAACAGAAGCUUUUGGCUGCUGCAGAAGUUCCCCUCUGUCUCAUCUGAAGCUGCUGUAAAGCAUUUGCCAAUGCCCUGAUGUUCCCCCACCCAAAGGGAAUUAAUGGCUGAGCUGGAAUGAAGAGCACAGCACAGAGAGCAGGCAUGGCCCAGACCUCACAGCACUAAUUAUGCCCUUAAAGGGACUGAAUUACUAAUUUUGGACAGUCACAGGAGCUGCUCUGGAAAUGCUUGCUAGAGGUAGGCUUAUCCCUUUCCUUUUCCCUUACUGCCUCUUCACCUUUUCCUCCUGUACUUUCCCAAUGACAACUUAUUCUGUUCCAGCUCACUGGACAAUCAAGUCAGUUUUAUUAAUGCAAAUAACCAUUAACUAAAUUAAGAUGAUAUAAGAAACAGAGAUCAGUUUAAAGAAGACUUAUAUGGACACUGGGGGAAGCAGAGCAAGG